Molecule: ribosomal RNA, 452 nt
Filed under: uncultured bacterium
Lineage: Bacteria
Description: bacterial SSU rRNA
Rfam family: Bacterial small subunit ribosomal RNA
Source: RNAcentral
ACUCCUACGGGAGGCAGCAGUGGGGAAUAUUGGACAAUGGGCGAAAGCCUGAUCCAGCCAUGCCGCGUGUGUGAAGAAGGUCUUCGGAUUGUAAAGCACUUUAAGUUGGGAGGAAGGGCAGUUACCUAAUACGUGAUUGUUUUGACGUUACCGACAGAAUAAGCACCGGCUAACUCUGUGCCAGCAGCCGCGGUAAUACAGAGGGGUGCAAGCGUUAAUCGGAAUUACUGGGCGUAAAGCGCGCGUAGGUGGUUUGUUAAGUUGGAUGUGAAAUCCCCGGGGCUCAACCUGGGAACUGCAUUCAAAACUGACUGACUAGAGUAUGGUAGAGGGUGGUGGAAUUUCCUGUGUAGCGGUGAAAUGCGUAGAUAUAGGAAGGAACACCAGUGGCGAAGGCGACCACCUGGACUGAUACUGACACUGAGGUGCGAAAGCGUGGGGAGCAAACAGGA